GCCCCUGUAGCUCAACGGAUGAGCAGCGGUUUACGAAGCCGUGGCAUGCAGGUUCGAAUCCUGUCAGGGGCUC
Molecule: transfer RNA, 73 nt
Filed under: Rhizocola hellebori
Lineage: Bacteria; Bacillati; Actinomycetota; Actinomycetes; Micromonosporales; Micromonosporaceae
Description: tRNA-Arg
Rfam family: tRNA
About the family: Transfer RNA (tRNA) molecules are approximately 80 nucleotides in length.
Source: RNAcentral